Molecule: transfer RNA, 69 nt
Filed under: Toxorhynchites speciosus
Lineage: Eukaryota; Metazoa; Arthropoda; Insecta; Diptera; Culicidae
Description: tRNA-Gln
Source: RNAcentral
UAUAUAUUAGUGUAUGAGGCACAAAAAUUUUUGAAAUUUUUAGAAAUAGUUUAAUUCUUUUAUAUAUAA